UCGCGGCUUAUCACCGGCAGUCUCCUUAGAGUGCUCAACUAAAUGGUAGCAACUAAGGACGGGGGUUGCGCUCGUUGCGGGACUUAACCCAACAUCUCACGACACGAGCUGACGACAACCAUGCAGCACCUGUGUGGACGCCAGCCGAACUGAAGGACCCGAUCUCUCGAGCCCAUACGUCCCAUGUCAAGGGUUGGUAAGGUUCUGCGCGUUGCUUCGAAUUAAACCACAUGCUCCACCGCUUGUGCGGGUCCCCGUCAAUUCCUUUGAGUUUUAGCCUUGCGGCCGUACUCCCCAGGCGGGGCGCUUAAUGCGUUAGCUGCGGCACGGAGGACGUGGAAAGUCCCCCACACCUAGUGCCCAACGUUUACAGCGUGGACUAC
RNAcentral lists this unclassified non-coding RNA (383 nucleotides) under uncultured bacterium. RNAcentral describes it as "contains 16S-23S intergenic spacer region". The record is from RNAcentral.